GAUGAACGCUGGCGGCGUGCCUAAUACAUGCAAGUCGAGCGAACGGACGAGAAGCUUGCUUCUCUGAUGUUAGCGGCGGACGGGUGAGUAACACGUGGAUAACCUACCUAUAAGACUGGGAUAACUUCGGGAAACCGGAGCUAAUACCGGAUAAUAUUUUGAACCGCAUGGUUCAAAAGUGAAAGACGGUCUUGCUGUCACUUAUAGAUGGAUCCGCGCUGCAUUAGCUAGUUGGUAAGGUAACGGCUUACCAAGGCAACGAUGCAUAGCCGACCUGAGAGGGUGAUCGGCCACACUGGAACUGAGACACGGUCCAGACUCCUACGGGAGGCAGCAGUAGGGAAUCUGCCGCAAUGGGCGAAAGCCUGACGGAGCAACGCCGCGUGAGUGAUGAAGGUCUUCGGAUCGUAAACCUCUGUUAUUAGGGAAGAACAUAUGUGUACGUAACUGUGCACAUCUUGACGGUACCUAAUCAGAAAGCCACGGCUAACUACGUG
This 497-nucleotide ribosomal RNA is filed under the name uncultured bacterium. Its description in RNAcentral is "partial 16S ribosomal RNA". It matches the Rfam family "Bacterial small subunit ribosomal RNA", at positions 28 to 507 of the family's 1533-position model. The record is from RNAcentral.